Molecule: ribosomal RNA, 498 nt
Filed under: uncultured bacterium
Lineage: Bacteria
Description: partial 16S ribosomal RNA
Rfam family: Bacterial small subunit ribosomal RNA
Source: RNAcentral
GACGAACGCUGGCGGCGUGCCUAAUACAUGCAAGUCGAGCGGACGGAUGGGAGCUUGCUCCCAGACCGUCAGCGGCGGACGGGUGAGUAACACGUGGGCAACCUGCCUGUAAGACUGGGAUAACUCCGGGAAACCGGGGCUAAUACCGGAUAACUCUUUCCCUCACAUGAGGGAAAGCUGAAAGAUGGCAUCUCGCUAUCACUUACAGAUGGGCCCGCGGCGCAUUAGCUAGUUGGUGAGGUAACGGCUCACCCAGGCGACGAUGCGUAGCCGACCUGAGAGGGUGAUCGGCCACACUGGGACUGAGACACGGCCCAGACUCCUACGGGAGGCAGCAGUAGGGAAUCUUCCGCAAUGGACGAAAGUCUGACGGAGCAACGCCGCGUGAGUGAUGAAGGUUUUCGGAUCGUAAAACUCUGUUGUCAGGGAAGAACAAGUACCGGAGUAACUGCCGGUACCUUGACGGUACCUGACCAGAAAGCCACGGCUAACUACGUG